RNAcentral lists this transfer RNA (61 nucleotides) under Caryophyllaeus brachycollis. RNAcentral's name for it is "tRNA-Pro". Lineage: Eukaryota; Metazoa; Platyhelminthes; Cestoda; Caryophyllidea; Caryophyllaeidae. The record is from RNAcentral.
CAGAUUUUAGUUUAUUGAGAAUAGGGGUUUUGGGGAUCUCAGGUCCCUAGCGGAUAUCUGG